Non-coding RNA from Rattus norvegicus (Norway rat), 24528 nucleotides. NCBI's taxonomy places the organism in Eukaryota, Metazoa, Chordata, Mammalia, Rodentia, Muridae. The record is from RefSeq and is a predicted model, not a curated record.
CUCAGCUGCGGGAUCAACAGAGCAGAUUUGUACUCAAGACCUUUCAUAUGCACCACCAUGGCCGUUUACAUCUGUGGCUGAGCUCAGGCUACAGACCUGUAUGUCUGUGUCUAAGGAUAAGGCCCUGUGCCCAUUUUAAAGAUGAGAAAAUUAAAAUUCAUCAGUCGGGUUACUACGGCAGACGUCGUGGCUCUUGUCAUUUAUUAUUCUAAUUCAAAUUUGGCUCAGCACCCCGCUCCCCUUUUGUGUUCUUACGGGUUCUAGCACAUGAAUGAAGGCAGCAAAAAUCACAGACAGAAACACACGGGCAUUUAAAAAUAAUUUGAAAGUGACAUUUUAAUAAACAUUUUCUUUAAUUUUGUAACUAGAAUGAUAGAAUAAUAGAUCAUAUAUUUUCUUACCCCAAACAGAGUGAACUCUCUUUGAACCCUUUGCUUGAAAUAAGCACUCACUGACAAGAAUAUAUUUAAAUAAACAACCUCUGAAUAGAAUAUUUCCUUCAGAUAUGGUAGACAACUGGCAUCUCUUAAAGUAAUUCUGACCAAUUACUUUUCUCCUCUGUGCUUAUUAAAAUUCUCCCUGUUGAAUGCUAAAAUUCCACAGGCCUUCUGGAUCUCCUGGUGAUUUACCAUCUCCCCAGUCUCCCACUGAGCUUCAUGACGUCAUCGUCCCCAUACAAGCAAUAGUCAGGGUUAGCAAUGACUGCGGUUCUUAAUGACAUCACCACCCCAUAUGGUACUGGGGUUAACAAUGACUGCCCUUUCAUGACAUCAUCACACCAUAUGGUACUCAGGGUUAGCAAUGACUGCUCUCCAUGCACGUCCCAUUUCUCCCAGUGGUCAUGGUGGCCUUGGAGACAGCAAUCCUCUUUACCGACUGUUUUUAUGCACAGCUGCACCCAAGGUCUCAAUAGUGUUAUAAUAUUGGAGAAUUUUUUUAAAGAUUUAUUUUUAUUUAUGUUUAUGUGUGUGUGAAUGUACACCAAGUGUGUGUGACAGAAGCCAGGUGAGAGUAUAGGACCCCCCUGGAGCUGGAGUUACAGGAGACUAGGAGCUACCUGACCUGGGUGCUGGGAAUCAGAUUCAAGUCCUCUGGAAUUAACUACUGAACCAGGUAGCUAACCACUGGGCCACCAGUCCAGCCCCUGAAGGAUUUUUUUGUAAUGAGGAAAAAAAAAAACCCGCAGAGUGUAAAAUGUUGCUGUUAUCCUCUUUCUUACAUUGUAUUUUAAAUAAUAAUAAUAAUUAAUAAUAAGUAUUAUUAUUAUUAUUAUUAUUAUUAUUAUUAUUAUAUAAUGAAGGUGUCAACAAAGAACUGGUUCCAAGCGGACACAGACCAUUAGGGUGUUUUGCUGGCUUGGCUUUGGUUUGUACAACUCAGCAGUGAAUAGUCUGUUACCGACAUCUUACCAGUGAGGACUCUACAGCAGGCGCCAGCUAAAUGAUGUAUCUACCAUGUAGGUUCUGUAAGACGCAUUCUCUCUGAUAGGCAGCCUCAGAUCUACUGUCAUCUUCAAUGCUCAUUCUCUCAGAUUGGGGUUUGGUCAUCCGGGGAUGGGCAGGAGCCGCAUUGCCACCUCAUAGGCAGGUGGCAGAGUUAACUGAGACUGUGUGGGCAUGGAGUUCACCCGAAACUGGAGUUUGCAUAAGACUAACAUUCUCUCCAUCUCCUCAGGAGGCUGGUGUUUGUUUUAUUUGGAGGGCUAGCAGGGAUCGGUCCACAACUCAGAAAACGAUGUCAAUAGCCAUGCCCUAUCUGCCUGACACUUGGUCUCUACCCGUGUCCUGUCUAUCGGGGGAUGGAGAGAUGGCUCAGCAGUUAAGAGCACUGGCUGCUCUUGCAGAAGAGCUGGGUCCAGUUCCCAGCACCCACAUGGCCCCUCACAAACCAUCUGCAACUCCAGUGCCAGGGGAAUCUACUGCCCUCUUGUGGCUCCUGCUGGUACUAACGCGUGUGGUGCAUUGCACGAACAUUUUAAGAUCCUCGCUGUGUAAAAUAUAAAAGAGGGAACUUUGGCCUUAAGCGAGUGUUCCAUACACUGAUUCCUUCGAGGUGUCUAAUUCUAGGCUUUAGGGUAUGCACACGGAGGUUUCAGUAGGAGCUGAGUCACGUGGGCAUCCAAGGAAUUUUAAGAAGGUCAUGUAAGAACAUGAUGGCUGGGAGUGCAGUUAGAAAAGUGAUCUGAACAAAACUUAAAGGUAAGAAGAAUUUUCACUGGGAAAACAAGGACAGUGCAAGUCCCCCAAACAUAUCAGCAGCUAAAACAAUUCUGCCUCUGCUUUGUCUUCCUAACCCUACCUCUGAAGUAGGAGACGCAUUGCUUUCGAGAAGCAAAUACAAUCUUAGUCUUUUCCUUUAGUAGAAAACAAAAGAUCUCGCUGGGUUUAAAAAAGACAACCCGUUCCCACUGGUGGCCGCCUUAAAGGCUUUGUACAUAUGAGUUUGGCUGCUCUGAAAACAGACAGGAUCUUGGCCUGCUCUCUGUUCCCGAAGUGACACUUGAUCGUGUCUCAAGGCUACCAGGUGGGGACACUCGGCAGACUCUUGCAUGUAACUAGGUCACUCUGCCACGUUCCCCGAGAUUUGAUAGACUGCAUUUUCAAACUCAACCGUGUAACCCACAUUUUCAGAGGAAAAAAAGGAGUCUACCAGGGAAUAUAGGAAUAUAAGACCAAGAAGUGUAUUUCCCCCGGGGCCCUGCUCUGAAGAUAAUUUAUUUUAAAUGAUUAAGAUUCUGGGGCUGGAGAGAUGGCUCAGUGGUUAAGAGCACUGACUACUCUUCCAGAGGUCCUGAGUUCAAUUCCCAGCAACCACAUGGUGGCUCACAGCCAUCUGUAAAGAGAUCUGAUGCCCUCCCCUGGUGUGUCUUAAGACAGCUACAGUGUACUCAUAUACAUAAUAUAAAUCAAUAAAUUUUUAAAAAAAGAUUAUAUCUCAAGGGUCUGGAGAGAUGGUUAAGGGCACCGGCCACUCUUGCAGAAGACUCAGCCACAUGGUGGUUCACAGUUGUGUAACUCUAGUUCCGAGGGAUCUGACUUAUAGUGUCUGAUGGCAUCAGGCACCUAUAUGGUACAUAGGCAUAUGGUACCCAUAUGGUACACACAGACAAAAUAUCUAUAAACUAUAAAGUAAGUUUACCCCAGAAUGCUCCGAUACACCAGGCUAAGGCCGGAUGCCUACACGCUCACGGGAGCAGAGCCUGCCAAUCCCAAGGCCUCUUUGAGAGGAACAAGGAAACGCCUUAGGAUUGGCUGCCCCUCCCCCUCUGCAGGAAAACAGACCUCAGAAAACGUCUGCCAGAGAGCAAAACAUGAGAAUGUUUCUUAAGACUAAAAAGGAAUUGAUUAUCAGAAUAUGCCUUAGGAACUUGACGGAUAAAACGGAGUUCAGGCUCCGUUGAAACGGUAAGGAGCAGUUAUAAGCUAUAAUUACAUCCGGAAGAGCAUCUGCUAGGGCUACUGCUCCUCAACCUGUGAGUCUCGACUCCUCGGGGAAUCACAUAAUCAGAUAUCCUGCAUAUCAGAUAUUUGCAUUAUAAUACAUGACAGUAACAGAAUUACAGUUCUGAGAUACUAACGAAAAUAAUUUUAUGGUUGGGGAAUCAAUGUUGUUGGGAUUCAGACCUGGGACAAACAGCUGAGGUGUAUGUUUUAAUACCAAAGAGGACCUAACCUCCAGCUUCUCCCAGCAUCCCUCAGUCCCUACUUGUUAUAGAAACAAUGGCGUGGCCCGGCCUCUACCCCGAACUUUCCAACCCACUCCCCAAGGUCUUCCAGACAUUUUGGUCUCUGCCUCUCUCUUCUCCAUCUACAGGCACGCUUUCUCUUUGUCUCUUUCCUUUUUCCUUCCCCUGUGUGGUUAGUGAACUUGCCCGAGAGGUGCCCCAGUAGACCUGCCUUUAUACUUGAACUUGGCUCAAAUUGGCUCACUUAUCAACCACAAGAGGAGGAACUGAAUUAAGGGGUUGCAGCAUUGGGAACGUUGAGAACCACUGUGCUAUGGCCUUGUACUCAAAGGCUGGGACUACACUCGACCUCUUUCUUUGUAAUAUCCUGAAGGAGCUGUAAACUGGGGGAAACAGGCCCAUUUACCAGUUAAGAAUGCAAACCUUUGGGCUGGAGGGAUGGCUCAGCAGUUAAGAGCACUGGCUGCUCUUCCAGAGGUCCUGAGUUCAAAUCCCAGCAACCACAUGGUGGCUCACAACCAUCUGUAAUGAGAUUAGAUGCCCUCUUCUGGUGUGUCUGAAGACAGCCACAGUGUACUCAUAUACAUAAAAUAAAUAAUUAAAAAAAAAAAAGAAUGCAAACCUUUGAAAAACCAAUACUUCGUCUGAAGUAGGCAAGAGAAAGAAGACACAGGUAAAAAUUACUGACCUUGGGGUUGGGGAUUUAGCUCAGUGGUAGAGCGCUUGCCUAGGAAGCGCAAGGCCCUGGGUUCGGUCCCCAGCUCCGAAAAAAAGAACCAAAAAAAAAAAAAAAAAAUUACUGACCUUAAGUGAAGACUCGGUCACUUCCCCCAAAGAUAACACAUCUCGCUAUGGUUUUCUGGUGAGCCCUGACUAGCGCUCUCAUCAAAAAUCAUAAUGCCACCCAUAAAAAAUUCUGAGUCUGAUGUGGUCUACAUAUAUAUCCCUAUACAUAAUUAUGGAUAUAUAUAUAUAUUCCAAUACACAAUUAUAGGUGUGUGUAUGAAUUAAAGAGAUUAUAUUUCCCUUCUGUUAAAGAAGGGAAUGCACACACCUUUUCAAUACGUCAGGAAUUUAUGCUCUGGACAGAGCGAAAACUCACCAGUAGAGAAACAGGUAUUUCCCCGGGAAAUAGGUCCCUACCAGGAGCAGUCAGUCACGGCAGACCUGUGUCGGGCUUCACAGACGCCGCACAGGGCCAGGCAGACCACCAUUGAUCACUGUCAUCCCUUUUCCAUUUGAUUUCAUUACUGCACCAUCUUCCUGGGCAGAGUAACAACAGCAGCAAACAGGUUGCUCUCCUGCUAUUUCCUCUUACUUGACUUCCCUUUCUGAGGCGGAAGGACAGUUGGAGGGUGGCCCCUUGGUCCUCCACCCCAGUCUCCAGAAGACCUCUGCCCCCUCCCCCGGGCACCAGGUUCCCGGUCGUAUCUACAAUCUAUUACUUGACACAGUGGAAGAGGGUAAUAAACACAGCCAACAAGUUCCUUCCCCAGGCACGGUCUACCUGUGGAGGAGGUCCGCCUUCCUCAAGAUCGUUUUCAGACUUCUGAGUACCCCUGGGAACGAGGAGCCGAACAUUCUGGAAGUGGAGCUGCUCACCUCCCUUUCAAAUCAUACACUUAUCCCCUGCAGCUGCAUACAGCGACACCUAGUGGCGGCAAUUAGUACACAAGGAGAGGGCAGCUUGAAGCACUGACCUACCUAUCAUCACCAGCCUGUCCUGUUGGGUGUAGGCUGGAUCUCAGUCCGGCUACCUUCCCUACGACAGACAUCAUCCUCAAAGGGCUCCAUGUCUACUUUCUUACUGCCUCUUACACCGGAUAACCAUACUGUGAUGCGGCUGCACAACAAAAUCAGAUAUUCGGGAAAAUCUCGUCUUAACUUUUUCAUUAAAAGGAAUGAGGCAGUAAACGGAAAUCACAGGAACGUCUUCCAAAGAUGCUCCACCGCAGCCUUCCAACCUCUGGGAAGCGUCACCCCGGGCUGAGGUUAGUCAACAGACAUUAAUUUCAACCUGGGGCUGUCCUGGUGGGCAGGAAGUAAUCACAUGAGCCUCCAAUCAGAGAGGGUGCCCUCUGCCUGGGAACGACAUGUAAGUCCCACCCCUCGGGGGCGGGGAUUUGAUAUGCCUCUGUGAUGUCAUAGAGAAAGUGCCAUGAAUGAGUAGUGAUGUUUUGAGAUAGGGACUAUGGAAGAUCGUUAGGAUUAGAUGACGUCAUGGGGGUGGGGCCCUGGUCUCAGAAUUAGUGCCCUCAGAAGAGCCGGCAGAAAUCUGUUUCUCUCUGUGUUAUGUGAUUAGACAGUGACACAGUUGCCAUCUGCCUGGAUAAUACCUAACUAUGCCGGCACACUUCAGAAUGGCCAAAAAAUUAUUAUUGUGUAAGCCACCUAGCUUGUGGUUGAUACUUGGUUACAACAUCCAAAGUGAGAGCCAAUAACAGGAACCACCUCCUUUAAGUUCUCCUAGUACUUGGCAUGAGCCAGGAAACAGCCUUUCCAGAGCCUCUAGGGAAGAGUUCAGGUUGGUCAAGACCUCGGUUCCGACGGUGAACAAAGGGUCAAGCUUCCUGAGCCAUACACAGUACUGCCCGCCCAACAGUAGAGGCACGCACGCACGCACACACGCAAGCACGUACGCACGCACGCACGCAUGCGCACUAAGCUCAGUUCUCUGUCACAUUCUCUACUUCCUAGUUGUUCCAGGGCCCACCGGCUCACCCACCUCGAGCCUCCCCUGCUUUUCAUCUGGAUUUCAUUCGGUCUUCUCAGUAGAGACCUUCCGUUUUCUCCAAACACAGGCAAUUUUUGCCAGACUUUCUCCACAACGUAGAAGACAGAAUUCUGUACUCUAGAAAAUGUUCCUACCAAGGACAUGCUCGCUAGCCUAGGCAUUAUCCUUGUAUCAGGAAGAAGAAUUUCGUCAUCUACCAGAACCUGAGAUCGCCUGAGCCAUCUGUUAUUACAGGGCAUGGGGACUGUGACACCAAAGGUAUUAGCAUCGAAUGGAAGGUUGAACCUGUCCAAACCUCAGAAAUCUCAAAAGUUAAGAACAGAAUCUCACCCUGAGACCAGCAGGAGUGGGAUAGCUCCGUCCCUGUUUCCAUGCCUGCCUAGGAGCAUGUAACCAGGCCCAGUCAGGUGAUCACAAGUAGUCAGUCACACUGUUCAACACCGGAAACUUCCACACGCAAAUGAGGCACCUCAGUAGCUUUACCCUUUAGGCAGUGAUCUUUGCCUCCCCUGGAUAUUCUCACACCUUUCCCCAAAAUUAUAUAACCCUCGGUUCACCCCGAGUACAGCGUAUGUGUUCAAGCCUACCCCCAAUAAAGAAAUAUGAGUACGCUAAGGCCAUCUUAGAGAGCUGCUUCAGUAAAGAUCGUCAGAGAAGGCCUCCUCUCUCCUCUCACGGAGAGGUGACUUAGCACCAGGAGGAAGUGAUGUGUCCGGGGCACGCACUCCCAACCAGACCAAGAUCCUGCUCGAUCUGGACUCUGCUUCCCCCCACCAGCCUGGCAGACAGCGGCAUCUGACCUGUGGGAGGGAAAGGUGGACUGCAGACCCCACCUGUUCGGAUUAAAUCUGUCCUUUCUGAGUCAUGUUCCAGCCAUACCAUAGCCAUGACUUCUGGGACACAUGCAAAGCCGUACCAUAGCCAUGACUACUGGGACACAAGCAAAGGCCAAGUUAGGGCAUACCGGCUUUCUCUCUUGCUCUGAGCAACCUUGGCCACUCUGAGGACAAACCAGUUGAGCACCUUGAGGUUAGAGAUCUGUGGAGACAGGCUUGCUGCACUCAUUUCGUACUGAGGGUCCAGGAAUGUGAAAAACAGCUUGUGUCUAAGCCAAGGUUACACACACACACACACACACACUCACACACACAAAUACAUUCAUACACAUACGCAACACAUAUACUCAUAUACAACACACUCAUACACAUACACAACACGUACACAUGCAUAUACACUCAUACAUAUACACAUACAUAACACAUUCACACACACACUCAUACACAACACACAUGCUUGCACACAUACACAGACAUGCUCAUGCACAUACACAACACACACAGCACAAACACACUCAUACACAUACACAACACAUACCCACUCAUACACAACACACGCAUGUACGCAAAUACAUAACACACUCGUGCAUACACAUACCCAUACACAUAUACACAAUACACUCACACACAUGUAUACAAUACACUCUUACACACACGUGCACACACAUAUAUACAUACUCAUAUACUCAUACACACAACACAAAUGCACACACACACACAGUCAUGCACAUGUACACAGAGUCCUGGAUCAUGGUACUGUGGAGAGACAGAAGCAAUUACUGCUGAGACCUGGACUCGCAGGUCAGUCUGCAUUUGAACCUGGAGUUCAUGUUCACACUUCUUACUCCGAAAUGCAUCGGGUCUUAGAUUUGAUUUUGGGUGAAUCUUAGCUGAGAAGGCCCUCAGGUUCUGGGUAGAGGGAUGGGCAAAACACCAUAAAGGGGACACAGUUUUGUCUUUACUGCAAAGAAUCCCCAUAAAAAAAAUUUUUUUAAGGAAAAUUUGAUGAAAAAAGUAAAACCCUGGGUUGGGGAUUUAGCUUAGCGGUAGAGCGCUUGCCUAGCAAGUGCAAGGCCCUGGGUUUGGUCCCCAGCUCCAAAAAAAAAGAAAAAAAAAAAAAAGUAAAACCCACCCCUAAGGAGUUAACAAGCUAAAGAAUCAAGGAAGUGGGAGAUAUAAAGAGUAACUCUGAGAGGUGAUAGAGAAGUAAGAAAAACUCCACGUUUUGUUUUGUUUUGCUUUUUUGAGACAGGGAUUCUCUGUGUAACCCUGGCUGUCCUGGAGUUCACUCUGUAGACCAGGCUGGCCUUGGACUCACAGAGAUCCUCCUGCUUCUGCCUCCCGAGGGCUGGGAUUAAAGGCGUUCUUACAGAGGACCUGUGUUCGAUACCCAGCACUUACAUGGCAGCUCACAACCAUCUGUAACUCCAGUUCCAGGAGUUCUGACGCCCUCUUCUGGCCUCCACAGGUACUACUCACAGGUGGUGCACAGACAUACAAGAGGACAAGUAAUUAUUUAAAACUAUAAUAUGAAGCUGGAGAGAUGGCUCAGUGGUUAAGAGCACCGACUGCUCUUCCAAAGGUCCUAAGUUCAAUUCCCAGCAACUACAUGGUGACUCACAACCAUCUGUAAUGGGAUCUGGGGCCCUCUACUGGUGUACAUGCAUCUAAAGCACUCGUAUUAAAUAAAUAAAUCUGAUAGAAGAAAUAGACCUUCCCCAAAGGUACUCAAUGAGAGAAUUAAAAAAAACAUAAACUACAAAAUAACCACAAAUAGAAGACAUGUUUUAAAUGAUAUAACCCAAACCAAAAAUAUUAGGAAUAUUCAAAUAUAUUAAAGAAAAAGAGAGAUACACCUUAGACGUAAGAGAACUCUAGUCUUUGAAAUCAGAAAUUUUCAGAUGGACUGAAAGGCAAAUUCAACAGCUCUUAAAGGAUUGGUGAACUGAAAGAUAGUAUCUGAAGAAAUGACCCAGAAUCCAGCCUAAAGAGAAGAGAAAAAGGAGAAGUGACCUGAAUAAGAGACAAGGCAGCUAGACCCGGGAAAUUCUGACACAUCGUCUAAUUACAGUUCUGGGAGAGCUGAAAUGAGUUAUUACUUGUGAAUUCUCCCAACUGUGCCUAUCAAUUAAAUUGAAUCAUAAGCAGAGGAGAUCCAUGCUGAGAAAGAAAUAGAAAAAGAGACAGACUCUCUGUGUGUGAGUGGAUAAAGUCUAAGAGAACGACGAAAGCGACACAGAGUUUGAGGGGGACCUGCGAACUUUUUAUUAUCUUUUUCAUCUUGCGUAAAGAAUAUUAAUGACAGGAACUAAAAUGAGAAAAGACUGAAGAGUUGGGCAAGGCAGAUAGAUAGAUGAUCUGCAAUCUGCUGGUUAAAACCACAGAAACCGUUAAGAUUUUAGAUUUGCUUCAGGAAUACAACGGAGCAGGGACCCGGCUCAGGUGUGGUCCCAUGGGAUCCAGAGUGCUCACAGAGCAGCUGUCACAUGAACAUGGCCCUAGGGCUUGUGUUCUUAUCCGCUGGUAAACCCCAGCUCACUCUGAUGUAGGGCUCACAGCCCUGGAGGCCAGUGGGAGCGCAUGAAGUGGGUGAUCCGGUGGGCCCUGGAACAACUAGGAAGGAGAGAAUGGGACAGAGAGCUGAGGUUAGCACGUGCGCUCAUGCGUGCUUGCGUGCGUGCGUUUACGGUUGGACAAUACUGUGUGCGACUUGGGAAGCUUGACCAACCUGAACUAGCUUGACCAACCUAGAGGCUCUGUGUCUGGGUUAAGGAGACAUCCGACUACCACAGCACCUGGGCUCGUACACACUCCUGAAACAAGGCUUAUAUUUCCUCAAACGGAAGAGAGCUUAGCAUCUGUGUCCUGCCCCGAUAGGUGCUGGCAUUCUGGAGCAGAAGCAAGAGUAGAAUCGUGGUUUCCUCUGUUCCCCAUUGGAUGUCGGAACUCUUUAAAGGGGAGGCACAAUUGCAACUGGUGCUCAACAAGAGGAUGGAGGCUCGCCUUUCACACAGAUUCACAUGCUCAUUCACUUCCUUAACCCUUCCAGAAGCAUCCACUGGGACCAUCUUUCACUGGACCUUCUUUUUCCAACAGAAUCGUUUCCCUAAGCUUGUUUACUUCAUCUAAAUGGCAUACUGUAGUUUUUAAUGGGGAAAUAGAAGUCUCCAGGAAAAUUUUUAAAACACAGUGUUUCAGGGGCUGGACAGAUGGCUCAGGGAUCAAAAGUAUUUGCUACUUUUGCAGAGGACCUGGGUUUGGGUCUCAGGACCCACAGGUGGUCCACAACUGUCUUUAACUCCAGCUGUAGAGGAGCCUAUGCCUUCUUCUGUCCUCCAUGGGCACCACACAUACACGGGACACAGACAUACAUGCAGGCAAAAAAACCAAAUUAGUUAAUUAAUUAAAGGGGUUGGGGAUUUAGCUCAGUGGUAGAGCGCUUGCCUAGGAAGCGCAAGGCCCUGGGUUCGGUCCCCAGCUCCGAAAAAAAAAAUUAAUUAAAUAAAAUAAAAAGACUCAGCCAUCACUUGAAGUUGCCAGGAAUGGGGUCAAUGGAUGCUUUACUUGGCCAGCAGGCUAGGAAGCUCCCCUUGUCGAUUUCAGAGUAGCAGAUUCCAGCCAUUUUCAUUUUGCCUCUCUCUCUCUCUCUCUCUCUCUCUCUCUCUCUCUCUCUCUCUCUGGGUGUGUGUGUGUGUGUGUGUGUGUGUAAUUACAGUAUCAGAACUUAAAGAUCACUAUUGAAGGACACCCAAACUUCAUAAUGCACACUUAAUCAGAAAUAAUUUUAUUCAAUUUUAUGCUCUGUUUUGACAAAAAAGUCACUGCCCAUCCACUGUUAUUGUUGUUGUCGUCGUUUUGGACAGGGUUUCUCUGUGUAGCCCGAGCUGUCUUGGAACUCCCUCUGUAGACCAGGCUCAUAGAUCCGCCUGUCUCUCUUUUUUCUUUUUUUUUUUUUUUUUUUUUUUUUUUGGUUCUUUUUUUUUCGGAGCUGGGGACCGAACCCAGGGCCUUGCGCUUCCUAAGCAAUCGCUCUACCACUGAGCUAAAUCCCCAACCCCUCCGCCUGUCUCUUAAUUCAAGGCCUGCCCCAGGGACACCACCUCCUGCUGGCCAUUGCCCAUCCUAAGGUUCCUGGCUUCGAAGCAAACAUUACGUUGUUGCAAACAAGAGGAACACAGGAAAAGGCAGGUUUUUCGCAUAGCCCAGAGUCUUACCAAGAUUUUCUAAAAGGCAAAGUAACUAUGUGAAGGCAGAGGAUUUGGGUUGAAAUUGAACCAGAAUUUACUCUUGUCCUCCCCGAGCCAGUCAGUGUCCAGCCCCCUUAACUACAGUCAGUACCAACAACCAAAGACUGAGGAGUGACUUUGCGUGGCCUUGAGUGAGACCCAGACAAAAGGCAAAUGCUUUGAUAAGAAAUGUAAAAUACCCACUGUAAAGAGAAAAUAUAAAUUUGCUAAAAUCCACAUGUUCCCGUGCCAAGCCAAUACUUUGCUUAAUGAACACCCAUGUCUUUGUUUACUUACUUUGGAAAAUGUGUAAGUUCAAUAAGGCCUCAAAACUUAAGAAGCAAGGAAAGGUGCUUUCAUUAUAAAAUUACUAUAAAAUAUUUUAUGCAUUUAUAGGCUUACAUUUUAAAAAUCUGCCCUGUUCUAAAGACUUGUCAUCUUAGGUUGUAGUUUUUUUCCCUUUUGCUUUUUUUUUUUUUUUUUGAGCCAAGGUCUCACUAUAUAGACCAGGGUGGCCUAGAACUCAGAGAUUCGCCUGCCUCUGCUGUGGUUAAAGGCAUCUGUACCACACACCACAGGCUCAAACUGCCAUACCUGGCUUCAAUUUGAGGUUUCUUAAGAGUCACCAGUACCUUUGACCCCAGCACUCAGGAGGCAGAGGCAGGCAGAUAUCUGAGUUCGAGGCCAGCCUGGUCUACAGAGCGAGUUCCAGGUUAGCUAGGGUUACACAGAGAAACUCUGUCCUGAAAAAUAAGAAAAAGAAAAGAAAAGGAAAAAGGGGGGUCACAGGCAUUCCAAUAUCUGACGGUGUUGUGUUGAAGAGUGUAAUGAAUGACUAUGCAGACCUCAUACCCACUGUUCCUAGAACAAAGGGCAAAUAGGAUACCUGAAAAUCUGUCCUCUUCAUUUUGUGUCAGAUUAAUAUUCUAGAAAAGAUUUCCAGAAAGUGCUUUGAACUCAUGAGAAAAUGUCAAACAAAAAUUCAGGAUCUAGCUAGAUUUUAAGAUAUUAAGAUUUUUAAGAUAUUAAGAUAUUAGUGUGGGUUUUCUCUCUAGCUCCAUCCAUUGACUUGCAAAUGUCAUGGUUUCAAUUUUCCCUACAGCUGAAUAAAACCCCAUUGUGUACGUGAACCCCAUCUUCAUUAUCCAUCCACCAGCAGAUGGACAUUGUCUUAGGGUUUCACUGCUCUGAACCACGACCAAGGCAACUCUUAUGAGGACAACAUUUAACUGGCACUGGCUUACAGGUUCUGAGGUUCAGUCCAUUACCAUCAAGGAGGGAACAUGGCAGUAUCCAGGCCGCAGUAGCUGAAAAUCCUACAUCUUCUGAAGGCUGCUGGGAGAAGACUGGCUCCCAGGCAGCUAGGAGGAAGGUAUUAAAGCCCACACCCACAGUAACACACCCACUCCAACAAGGCCACACCCACUCCAACAAGGCCACACCCACUCCAACAAGGCCACACCCACUCCAACAAGGCCACACUCAUUCCAACAAGGCCACACCCCUCCAACAAGGCCACACCCACUCCAACAAGGCCAUUCCCACUCCAACAGAGCUGCACCUCCUAAUAGUGCCACUCCCUGAGUCAAGCAUAUUCAAACCAUCACAGACUGGAUCCAGGCAGUUUCUGUAUCCCAGCUAUUUAUCAAAAGAGCAGCAAUGGGGUUGGGGAUUUAGCUCAGUGGUAGAGCGCUUGCUGGCCCUGGGUUCAGUCCCCAGCUCCGGAAAAAAAAAAAAAGUUUAAAAAAAGAGCAGCAAUGAACGCAGAUGCACAUGUGUCUCCUUGGUAGGAAACAGAGUCCUUUGGAUAUAAAUAUAUAUACCAUAGUAAGGUAGGUCUUUCUAAUUCCUUGCCCCCUCCUGCCCACUAGGUACAAAGAUCAUACCAGUCAAACUUUAGCUUGGAGCAGGAAGGGACUGGUGAGUCCCCCACUACAUGAGGUGCUAUGCACGGACAGUUGAUGGCUUCUGGGGAAAGAAGAGGUCGUUUCCUUUACGGGUGUGUGUGUGUGUGGCUCCUGGUAGGUCAGCUAUACCUCAGUGAAUAGUCCUGCACCCACAAGUAUGUGGACUGAUGGAUUACUGAGUGAAAAUAAACAAACAGAGGGUAAUUCAGGGGGUAGGAAGAAGGGCGAGCAUUUGGAAGGAGUUAGGGAGGGAUGAAUUUAAUUAAAAUACAUUGCGUGAAACAUUGCAAGAAUAAAUCAAAAAUACUUAGAAAAGAAAUGAAGGCUUAUGACAUAGUGUGCUGGCUAGUUUUUAAUGUCAACUUGACACAAGCUAGAGCCACCUGGGAAGAAGGACUGUUAGUUAAGUAGAUGCUCCCACCAGAUUGGCCUGUAAGCAGAUCUGUGAAUCAUUUUCUUGGUUAAUAACUGAUAGGGGAGGACCAAGGCUACAGUGGUGGUUCCAUCUCUGGGCAGAUGGCCCUGGGGUCUAUGAGAAAGCAGGCUGAGCAAGCUAUGAGGAGCAAGCCAGUAAGCAGCUCCCCUCCAUGGCCUCUGCAUCAGCUCCUGCCUCCAGGUUCCAGCCCUGACUUCCUCCAGUGAUAGACUGUUACCUGGAAGUGUAACCUGAAAUAAUAAAUUAAUUAUAUAUUAUCAUUUAUAUAAUGUAAAUAUACAGUAUAUUUAUUUUAUAUAUACAAAUACAUAUACUUUAUACAUACAUGACAAAAUAUAAGAUAAUAUAUAAUUAUAUAUUUAUGUACAUAUAAUUAUAUGUUAAAAUAUAAUUAUAUGUGUUUUAUUACAUAAUGUAUAAUAUUUAAUAUUUAUAUAAUAUAUAUUCAUCACAGCAAUAAAAACUGUAACUAAAGACACUCAGAAAACUCACAUGCUCUAAAAAAGGGACAAGAUCUACUGAAAAACAAUAGUGCAAAAUAUUGAUAUUAUAAAUAGAUAUAUAAUUUAAGUUAUAUAUUUAAUGUUUCUUUUUCUGUUGCUUUUAAGGAUUUAUUUAUUUAUUAUAUAUAAGUACACUGUAGCUGUCUUCAGACACACCAGAAGAGGGCAUCAGAUCCCAUUACAGAUGGUUGUGAGCCACCAUGUGGUUGCUGGGAUUUGAACUUAGGACCUGUGGAAGAGCAGUCAAUGCCCUUAACCUCUGAGCCAUCUCUCCAGUCCCUAUAAAUGUUUCUUAUUCAUUAAAAAGUUUAAUAUUCAUAAAAAAAAAGAACGAGGAGCCCUAAAAGGUGACAAGAAAGAUAAAAACAUGUCAGGUCUCCCAGAGAAGAGCAUGGAUGUUUGUUCCUUCUGUGUUGGCGGGCUCCCGCCUCCAUUCUGCCCCAUGCUUCCUGUUGUUCUCUUUCUUCUGGGUCCGGUUACAUUCCCAGUACAGAGGAUUCUCUGAUCACCUUAGCUACUUUAUCUCUUACUCCAAAUGCUGUUCUGCCACCGGCAAUCUGAUUUCCCUUAAGUCACUGGCCCUCACUGAUCUCCACACGUCUGAGCCACGUGUGAGGUCGCCGGGUAAAGAAGCUCACCCUGCCCUCCUGUCAGUCUAGGGACUCUGUGUGGAGUUAGGACUUGUCCAAGGCCAGCUAGUCAGCGAGCGGGUGAUAGAGCUAAGUUUCAAAGUCACGUGGUAUUGUUCCUAACGUACGGUUCCUCUAACAAAUGCUAGGAACCUACCAUGCCCACGCGGCCAGGGCUGGGCUAAGCAUCCGGUAUAUGGUUAACACCAAACAGAAACAGUCCUUUGUCUCCUCUGUGACACUAGCUGGGGUUUUCCAGCGUAAAGUCCCCCAGAAUACAACACAAUGUAAGAGGACCACACCAACUUAGCCCAACAGAAAACCUGGGUUUGACUCCCAGCACCCACAUGGUGGCUCACAAUCAUCUCUAACUCCACUUCCAGGGCACCUGAUGGCCUCUUCUGGCUUCUGCGGACACUGAGCGCAUGUACUAACAGACAUGCAUGCAGGACUCAGCGAACACCACCGAAGAGGUCACAGAGAGAAUGUAAGAGUCGGAGGAGGAAGAGGAGCCUUGUGGGGUGGAGUCUUUCAGAUGCCGCAGGGCCUUUGCACUCAUGAACUGCAGCUGCUCUGACAUCAGACGUGCAUCAGACCCAGGCAGGAUUAGACCCAUCUCAAGCCUUCAUAGAUGCAAGACAGACCCAUGCAUCCCACCCCUCCCUGGGGAUGUAUAGGCUGUUAAUGGCUGCUGAGUGUAGGGGACCUUUAAUUCAGUGGUCUUGUAAGGCUAAGUGAGCCUUAGCUACCAGGAGACCCCCAAAUGAGACUCAAGAAUGGAGUUCGAUGCAAAAGCAAGAGGUUUAUUGUUCCAGAACUCUGGGGUCAUCCUGCACCCAGAGGAGAGGUGACCCCCUUCUCUUCCUUUCAUAAGAUUUUUAUACAAUUUUUAAGGGCAGAUUAUAGCAAUACCAAUUAGGAUCGCAAUGACUGGUGGUCAUGGUGACCUUUACAUUAAUUGGCUGGGCAGGGAGGGGGACUCAGGGACCCUCCCUAAGGCCCGGCGCAAAGUUCCAAGUCAGGACCCUCUCUCAGUGUAGCCUCUGGUAUGCUACUAUAAAUAACCCCUCACCCAUGUGCAUGUAAGUAGCUCUACUCAAAGUCAAUGGGUCACCCCCCAAAUCAGUCAAUUAUUAAAUAAAAUAAAGGGAAAUAACUAGCUAGGAAGAGGAUGACAGUCAUACAGGGUGAGGGGGACAAGAAAGCAAUGAAGGGGACUAUGACUAAAACAAAUUAUGCACAUGUAUGACAUCGUCAAAAUGUCAUGAAAUACAUAGGAGAAAGUGUGAGGUGCUCCAGGAUAAACAAAAACCAAAGAGCCUGCCCCAAAGCAUGCUCUAGAAAAGGAUAAACAAAAUGAUGUCAUAAAUUAACCUGCAUAAAAAAGAUCUUCAUUAAAGAUUAAUACAUGGACAAGCUCAAGACUCAAUAUUAUUGCUACUUUUUUUUUUUUUAAAGGAACCUUUGAUUUUUUUUUCUUUUCUUUUUUUCUUUUUGGAGCUGGGGACCGAACCCAGGGCCUUGCGCUUGCUAGGCCAAGCGCUCUACCACUGAGCUAAAUCCUCAAACCCCUUCGACCUCUUAAAAAUGGGAGGCAAACAAUUGAAACAAGGGAGAGACAGAAGGUUCCAGAACAGGAAAGCAGACGUCAGUACUUCUGAGAAAGUCAAAGGCCCCCGCUUGACCUGUAGUCAACACUCAAAAAGAAAAGCAUUUGCAAAUGCAUACACAAAGGAUGUAGCAUGCAGUUUUGAGUCAUGAUCACGGAAGUAACGUAUGAUUCACGUGCUCCUUGGUAGAUGCGUGCCCGCUCUACAGCAUCAAUGAGUUACACGCAGGGUAACGCAGUGAGGUACCAUCGUGAUGGGAAGCACUGCGCUGGGGCGCUGGGGAUGGUUUAGACGAAGAUGUAGUGUGGGCCACGCUUUGAGUGUCCUCAAAGAAAAAGUGAACGCGGCUUCACUUUGCUGAGCAUUGCCUAACUCCAAAGACAACGUGGCUACAGGGAGAAAUGAUGUCUGUGCUGGCCUGAGCCUAAGAUCUUUCCAGUUCCCCUGAGUCACCCUUGGAAACCCUGGCAGGUAUAAACAAACGUUGGUUCGUAACACUGGGAGCACCAAGCUAAGGAAGACCGGCUAGUAAAGUCAGACUCCCACAGGCUUUUUGCAAGGGGAUUUAACAACUUCGCUUUGGGCAGAAAAACCUGGGUCCUGAGAAGAGGCUGCCCACAGCGGGGGGGGAAAAAAAGAGCAGAUUAAAUCCUUCUGUGGUCUCACUAGUGUUGCUGUAACAAGAAGUAUCUUUUUUUUUUUUUUUUCUUGCAUGUGCAAAAGUAGCAGGCUCUGAACAGGAGACACCAGAAUGACAAAAAUCACGAGGGAACGGGAGGGAGAAAGGCUUCCCAUAGUGAGAAUCCACAGCGUCAGACUGCACCAGUGUCUUUACACAUAGAAUGUCCCAGGCCCAGGGCUCAUAACCGCAGCAAACCUUUAUGCCUCUAUGUGUUUCUUGUUCUUCGGCAAACAGAAAGAUAAGGUUUUAAUUCUAGUGAUAAGGAAACCAAGGGACAGAGUUCAUGUGGUUAGUAGACUUUUGUCUCCCAGAUGCAAGAGAUUUAAUCCAAUUUUAGACCUUUUUGAUUUUCUCACAGUUGAACAUGUUUUACUAAAUUUACUUUGUAAUGUUAUGUGCAUGCGCUGUAAUUAACUCCUCUCACACCUCCCCGCUCUCCCUCUCUUUCUCCAUUCAUGACCUCUUUUCCUUUAUAAAUAUGCAUUUAUAAAUACAACUUGCUGGGUCCAUUAAUUGCUAUUAAAAACAUAUGUAUAUGUUUUUAGAGCUGACCACUUGGAAUUGGAUAACCAGUUAGGGGGCCCAUCGCUGGAGAACACUAAUUCUCCCUUUCCCAAUUAAUGACUAUUAAUCGCCCGUAGCUCAUAAUCUAGAAAUGGGACCUCCAUCCACAUUGUCUUGUCAACAGGUACCAUCAUCUGGGAUGAGCCCAAAGGACUGGUUCAGAGAUUAGGAAACUGGUUAUCAGGGAGUUAAAGUGAACCACUCAUGGUCAGAGUAGUAGUUAUGGAACUUGGAUGACAAAGCCAGGUCCUAGAGUCACUUCCAAAACUGUGGCUUGCUUUGUAGGGGCAUCUGUGAAAAUGGAGAGAUUGGAAAAUUAUUUAUAUCUCUUUUUACGUAUAUGAGCGUUUUGCCUACAUGCAUGUUUAUACAGAAGUCAGAAGAUGGCGUCGGAUCCCUUGGAACUGGAAUUUGUGGACAGUCGUGAACUUCUACAUGGGUCCUAGAAGCGAACCCGAGUCCUCUGGGCCACUAGGUAAACAAUCCACAUCCUGUCUCAACAAGUACUCCUAACCACUGAACCAUCUCUCCAGACCAAAACUUUUUAAAAAGAAAAAAGGACCAAUGUUUAAUAUCUGUUGCUAAUUGGAUACAUUCUCAUCACCCAAAGCAGAUCCCAGACCUACAGAAGGCGGCGCCUCCUCACUCAGGCUUAAAAAUUACACCGCACCUCGAACAACUAAUGUACAAAUAAAUACAGAACUGAUUGUGGACAUGAAAAGUCAGGAAGGCUACCCUUGCCAAGAACCGGUGUGGGAGGAAGUGUUAUUAAAUAUUUAUCAGCACCAAUGUACAAUAGGAGCUCUUGUGCCAAACAUGUAAAGUCCUUGCCCCCAAGGAGUUGUGUCAGCUCUAAAGCUGGUCCGUCUGGAAAUGCAUGUUGUGGUGCUUUGUGAGGUAAACAGUCCGUGCCGCGACCUGGACAAGUUAUCGUUUGCAUAAGCUUUUUUUUUUUUUUAGGACAAAUACUUAAAUACUUAAUACUUGAUAUACUUUUUUAAAAAAUAUAUUAUUUAUUUAAUGUAUGUGAGGAUACUGUAGCUGUCUUCAGACACACCAGAAGAGGGCAGCAGAUCCCAUUACAGAUGGUUGUGAGCCACCAUGUGGUUGCUGGGAAUUGAACUGAGGACCUCUGGAAGAGCAUCCAGUGCUCUUAACCACUGAGCCAUCUCUCCAGUCCCAAUACUUGAUAUACUUAAAUAUUUAUGCAAGAGUGUUGCGUGCUGUGGCCGUGUUGAUCAUUUUCAAAGUUUCCCUCUUUCUUCCCUCUCCCGUUGCUUUACUCUAUCUGUCCACACAGCACAGUCCCUCGGGGUUGGGCGGGCGGCACCCUCAACGAUGCCAACCCUGGAAAGCUUUGAUUGUGUGAUUCUGUAGAAUACACUGUCAGGUGAUCUGAGGCAGUCUUGCUCAUAGGAACCAGACAAAUUAGUAAUGGCACACAUGUCAAGCCCAUUAGGUAAUUUGAUUCAACAAACGAUAAGCUGAUAGCACCUUUAUCCAGGGUGUGGUAGGAGGAGACACGGAAAGCAUGAGGCUGCCUUUGAUGGAAAAACAUUUAACUUAGCUCAGAGGUCCUGAGAAAGAUAUUACAUUUAUCACGUACAUGAGUCUGCCCAGGGUUUGAAUUGCCAAAGGAAGAUGCUAUUCAGGAAGGCCAGACUAAAACAGCAGCAAUGUGACCAGGGAGAGUUAUUAUAAUAAAAAAAGAAUGCAGAAUUAGUCAUCAACAUCUCCAUGGACGUUUCAAUGAAUGGAAAUCAUUAUAGAAAGGCAUGACUAGUCAAAAGACAGAGAACAUCAGACUGAGGGGUGCCCAGCCCCAGCUGAUACAUCUAUUACACAUCCCUACACCUAAGCCUCAGGGAUCAUCACAGAAGAGGGAGUGGAAUGAUUUUCAGAGCCAGGGGACCAGGAAGUCUGCUGGAAGACAGUGUCUUCGUUAUGACAGAGAAGCCGCACCCGUGAGAGCACAACAAUAUGGCCGCCUAAAGGAGAGCAAGGGCAAUGCCUAUAACAUGAAAUAUCACAAGUCUCCUAGAGGGAGAAGGACAGGAAAUUAAUGUCUGUGGAGAAGGGAAGAACCAGUCUUCUCUACAGAAAAGCCCCUGAUGGGGUUAUCCAAUCUCUGCGGGUCAGAUCUGAGCAUAUGAAUAGACCAGGGAUAUUAAAUAAAUUCAGUAGGGGUGUGUGUGUGUGUGUGUGUGUGUGUGUGUGUGUGUGCGCGCGCGCUCGUGUAUAACAAUAAUAAUUAUAGAUUAAGAGGUCAUAGAUUUUUGAGGGAGUGAAAGGUUAUGGAAGGAGUUGGAGGAGGAGAGCGAGGGAGGAAAGUUAUGUAAAUACAGUAGUCUCAUGAAAUGCUCAAAAAACAUUUAAAAUUCAAUUUAAAAGACCACAGGCAAAACUUCAUCCCUCCCUCCCUCCCUCCCUUCCUUCCCUUCUUCAUUCAUGUGAUGUAUGGAUUCUGCAUUCAAAGGCUUGGCGCGGGGUUGGGGAUUUAGCUCAGUGGUAGAGCGCUUGCCUAGGAAGCGCAAGGCCCUGGGUUCGGUCCCCAGCUCCGAAAAAAAGAACCAAACAAACAAACAAAACAAACAAACAAACAAACAAAAAAACCAAAGGCUUGGCGCAUCCGUGGAAAAUGGCAAUACCAGUGCAUCGAUGCAGGAUUGAAUGACAGAUUUAAAGGCUGGACGUGUGCAGGUCUAUGAGACAACAGGGGCAGUAAAUUAUCUGUCAGUGCGAGCAUAAAGGACAAUCUGAGCAGCAAAAGCACAAUACUUGAGAGUGGCCUUGAAAUUGAACACGAAUCACAGGAAACCACGGUGGACAGAUGAGGUCAUCUUGGUGAGGACAUCAGGGCGAGGAGUAGCUGGGACUCAAUGGGGCUUGACCAAACGUUCAAGGAAGAAGCAGGCGUAGGCGCCUUCCCUCUGGGCAAAGGCUCAUCCGGCCUAACCCUGAAAGCAACAGUGAGUACAGGAGAGGAACACUCCAAAAGAAAUCCACCUAGCCGCAGAUUAAACCGGUGGGAGGGAUGGGGUGGGGGCGGUCCUUAAUAAAAUGCAGGCUUGUGAUUGGCUCCUGGAAGGAAGCCCUUAAGGCAGUGUUUCUCAACCUGUGGAUAGAAAGGACUUUCUUUGGGGGUUGAAUGACCCUUUCACAGGGUUUGCAUAUCAGAUAUCCUGCAUAUCAGAUCUUCACAUCACUGUUCAUAACAAUAUGGAGAUUACAGUUCUGAAGUAGCAGCAACUAUAGUUAUAGUUGGGGGAUGGGAGUCGUCACACCUGGAGGAACUGUAUUAAAGGGUCACAGCGUUAGGAAGGUCGAGAACCACUGACUUAAGGCAUGGGAACACACUACUGGCCUCUGUUAACACGCGUGUGGAAAGAGGAGAGUGCGGGGCAGCUCAUGAGGGGAAGGUGGCGUCUGCAUCCCCUGAGCAUGCUGAGAAGCCUGCACAGGUGGAGACUAAACAACUAGUCAGAACAGCUAAUGGGUUGGAGAGACGGCUCCGCGCUUAAGAGCAUGAGCAUGGAUUGCUCUUCCAGAGAACCCGGGUUUGAUUCCCACCACCCGCAUCAAGCACUUCACAUCCACCUGUAACUCAGGGUUCAUGUGCGCAUAGCACCCCCAAAAUAAACACAAUUUAAAACAAUAAAAUUUUUUUUUUCUUUUCUUUUUUUUUCAGAGCUGGGGACCGAACCCAGGGCCUUGCGCUCGCUAGGCAACCGCUCUACCACUGAGCCAAAUCCCCAACCCCAACAAUAAAAAUUUUUUUUAAAAAAAACUAACACUUAAGGCCGGGAGAUAACAUAAACAUAAGUAAAAUUUACUAGAAGGAGCGGGUGCAUAUGCAUAUUUCUUUACAUGGUAGAGUUGGUACACUGUCAUUUUUAAAAUAAAAUACAUUACUUAUACAAGAUGUACAGGUGCCUAAUACCAACAACUAUAUACUUAGUAACGGAUUUCUAAUCAGUUUCUGAUUUUCGGUGAGGACAUUUGCUUUCAAUAGGGCAAUAGGCAUGAAUCGAGUUGGAUUUUAAAGGUGCAGUCAACUACCGUCACACUGCCCAUAGGAUUCCUCACAACUCACAAAUCUUAGAAAUUUGUGGAUUUUUUUGGGGGGGGGGGUUCUUUUUUUUGGAGCUGGGGACCAAACCCAGGGCCUUGCACUUCCUAGGCAAGCGCUCUACCACUGAGCUAAAUCCCCAACCCCAGAAAUUUGUGGACUUUUAAGUGAAUUCACACUGCUCCGAAUCUUAAAAAUACGGAGCAGUGUGAAAACCUGUUAGCUCAGGACAUUCCAGGGCCUCUUACACAGUUCCUGGUUCAGGCAGCAGGGAGACAGCCAGCGAGGCUCACUCGCUUUCCCAGAACAAACUUUGCCUUUCGAGUGCCUUAGCUCAAAGGAUCACUGAAAAGUUCAUAUCAGGCAAAUCCUCCUGAGACUGGAGGAUCCCGAGUUUUAUCCCUCAGGGGUGAACGUGCCAUACAGCUUUACUGAAAAGGCUUCUAAUCUGAUGUGAUCCCUGUAAGGACAUCUGGGUGACAGUGAUGAUCCAGGUUAGCCUGAUCUCCAACUGUGAGGCCAUCCUGUCAAGUUUGUUAUAUGUGUAUAGGGUUAAAGGGUGUUUGCAUCAUCCAGAAAAAGUCUCCCCAGACUAGGGUUUCUCUGCAGCAGGUUAAUCUGAAGACCCGCUCUACUAGAACCAGAUUAAACUCGCUGUCUGUCUGUCUGUCGGUCUGUCUGCCUGCCUGCCUGCCUGCCUACCUACCUACCUACCUAUCUACCUAUCUGGAGCUCUAUUUGUACCAUCAGUGCACAAGAUUUAAAUAAGUAAAAUGUGUGUUUCUCAGUAACCACAAGCUCCUGGUUCUCAUGAGCGCUCAGGGUGACCACAAGCUUAAAGGCAGUCAUCUCAGGUGGACUUUGGAUUGGUUUUUGGGAGAUCAGUGACAGGUCUGAUAAAAAGAGCAUAGACAUCCAGAUACCAGAAGAAGCAGAACAGGCCAACGGAAGAUGAGAGGGAGAUGCUGAGGACACAGUGAAAGAAUCUGAAAGGCUCACUGAGACUGACCGGCAGGCUACAGCACAUUGACAGAGCAAGUACAGGGAAAUCUCAAACAUUAAGGUGGCUGACAAGGUAUUUCAAGAAUGGGGACAUCUAGCCCCUGCACAGUGAUUCGUGCCUGUAAUCCCAGCAUUAAGGAGACUGAGACGUGAGCACCAAGAGUUUGAGGCCAUCCUGGGCUACAUAGCAAGACCCUGUCUCCAGAUAAAACCUCGACAAGAAACAGGGUGUGGUGGCACAUGCCUUUAGUCCUGGUUCUCAGGAGGCAGAGACAGGCAGAUCUCUGUGAGUUCAAGUACAGCCUGAUCUACACAGAAUCCCGGACUAGCUCAGAACAUUAUCUAAAAGCAAACAAACACACAAACAGAGCAAAACAAUAAACCCAACAAGCAAACAAAGCCAGUAUAAGUAUUAUAUAAAAGUUUCUUGUACUGAGUAUAUUAAUCGUAGAGUCUCCUCUCUUGAUAGCCUGGAAAUCUGCAUAGGGACACUUUUGUGUUUGAGUUUUAUUCACAGAAACCAAGGAAGGGAGCUUGAAUUCCACGUCUGAUUCCACGGGCGAGAGACAGUGAGACACAAACCCACAAAUGGCCCCAGUAGAGCAUUAGCAGAAGCAAGCUCAGAAGCCGGAGGACAUGCUGCCCUUGAACAGCUCAGACAUCACAGCGUCUGGCAACCCAUGAGAAAAAAAAAUGCUCCCAGCCAACAUUUGGGUGGUUGGAAUUGAUGUCUUUGCCGGUCUCUUCACGAGUUUCAGGUGGAUACAGGACUUUCAGGUGGGUAGCUUUUUAAACUGAAGAGCACACAAAGUAAUAAGGCGACAUCUUUUGGGAGUGCUCGCUGAAAUCUGAUAACCCCACGGGUUAACUAGAAGCUAAGAAGUUGUAAACAAAAUUUUUUUAUGUCCUGUAUUAAAUUUUCUUUCUUAACAUUUACUAAGUUAUUUUUCCAAGAUACACCUGACUUUCCUUUGAAAGACAAGAGAGCACGGUGCUCAGUUAGUAAGAACCAUGAACUAAGCUUGUCUUUCAAAGGAGACAUAGCUAUCGACCUCUCCCCUCCAGAGACGUUUAUAUAGGAGCCCAGCUAUUUGCUCUUCUCUUGGAAGAUACCAAAGCCAAAUGAACCAAGACCCCCCUCUCUCACACGGGAUGCUGUUCUCUUCAAAGAAACACAUUUUCUGUCUGAAGAAUGAACUGAAAAUUGAGGCCAUCGAAGAUCUGGAUGCUGCUACCCAUGCGUCUCCAUCCAGCUGCACCAAUCACCAGUGUCUGAGCAACCGGAAGGACUCAGAGACGAACAGCGCGGAUAGGGAGAUGCCUGGCCCCGCAGCAAAGGUGUGAGCGCUCUUCACUCUUUUCUUUUCUCCCCACAGAAAUGCCCCAGAUGUCCUCUCUGGGUCUCUGUGAUGAGCUUGUGACACUCAGACGCCGGCAGAGCGUGCUACAAGCUGUCUGUGCAGCUCUGUGUUUCUUCGUCUGUUAAAAGGGCGCCGACCUUCGGUACAGUUAUUUUCAUAAUUCAUUAAUUCUCUGACUCUCUGUUGUGCUCCCUGCCAAGGGAGUAGUUUUCUUGCAUAUAUUCUUCAACCCCCUGUUGUUGUAAAAUUAUAAAAAAAUAAAAACUGUCUUUUACCCCCCUCUA